Molecule: transfer RNA, 72 nt
Filed under: Camelus bactrianus (Bactrian camel)
Lineage: Eukaryota; Metazoa; Chordata; Mammalia; Artiodactyla; Camelidae
Also listed under: 2 other names
Rfam family: tRNA
About the family: Transfer RNA (tRNA) molecules are approximately 80 nucleotides in length. Their secondary structure includes four short double-helical elements and three loops (D, anti-codon, and T loops).
Source: Rfam by way of RNAcentral
GGGGGUAUAGCUCAGUGGUAGAGUCCAUGUUUAACAUGCACAAGGCCCUGGAUUCAAUCCCUAGUACCUCCA